Molecule: ribosomal RNA, 424 nt
Filed under: uncultured Planctomyces sp.
Lineage: Bacteria; Pseudomonadati; Planctomycetota; Planctomycetia; Planctomycetales; Planctomycetaceae
Description: bacterial SSU rRNA
Rfam family: Bacterial small subunit ribosomal RNA
Source: RNAcentral
UCGAGAAUCUUCGGCAAUGGGCGAAAGCCUGACCGAGCGACGCCGCGUGUGGGAUGAAGGCCCUUGGGUUGUAAACCACUGUCAGAGGGGAUGAAGUGCACGAGAGCUAUCUCUUGUGUUUGACAUAGCCUCAGAGGAAGCACGGGCUAAGUUCGUGCCAGCAGCCGCGGUAAGACGAACUGUGCAAACGUUAUUCGGAAUCACUGGGCUUAAAGGGUGCGUAGGCGGUCUUGUAAGUAGGGUGUGAAAGCCCCCGGCUCAACCGGGGAACUGCGUCCUAAACUGCGAGGCUAGAGUGAGGUAGGGGUGUGUGGAACUUCCAGUGGAGCGGUGAAAUGUGUUGAUAUUGGAAGGAACGCCGGUGGCGAAAGCGACACACUGGACCUUGUCUGACGCUGAGGCACGAAAGCCAGGGGAGCAAACG